RNAcentral lists this ribosomal RNA (429 nucleotides) under Chloroflexota bacterium. RNAcentral's name for it is "Chloroflexi bacterium partial 16S ribosomal RNA". It matches the Rfam family "Bacterial small subunit ribosomal RNA", at positions 355 to 776 of the family's 1533-position model. Lineage: Bacteria; Bacillati; Chloroflexota. The record is from RNAcentral.
UGGGGAAUAUUGCACAAUGGGCGCAAGCCUGAUGCAGCCAUGCCGCGUGUAUGAAGAAGGCCUUCGGGUUGUAAAGUACUUUCAGCGGGGAGGAAGGGAGUAAAGUUAAUACCUUUGCUCAUUGACGUUACCCGCAGAAGAAGCACCGGCUAACUCCGUGCCAGCAGCCGCGGUAAUACGGAGGGUGCACGCGUUAAUCGGAAUUACUGGGCGUAAAGCGCACGCAGGCGGGUUGUUAAGUCAUAUGUGAAAUCCCCGGGCGCAACCUGGGAAGUGCAUCUGAUACUGGCAAGCUUGAGUCUCGUAGAGGAGGGUAGAAUUCCAGGUGUAGCGGUGAAAUGCGUAGAGAUCUGGAGGAAUACCGGUGGCGAAGGCGGCCCCCUGGACGAAGACUGACGCUCAGGUGCGAAAGCGUGGGGAGCAAACAGG